This is a ribosomal RNA of Bacillus sp. FJAT-27916, 295 nucleotides long. It matches the Rfam family "Bacterial small subunit ribosomal RNA", at positions 934 to 1228 of the family's 1533-position model. NCBI's taxonomy places the organism in Bacteria, Bacillati, Bacillota, Bacilli, Caryophanales, Bacillaceae. The record is from Rfam.
GGAGCAUGUGGUUUAAUUCGAAGCAACGCGAAGAACCUUACCAGGUCUUGACAUCCUCUGAAAACCCUAGAGAUAGGGCGUUCCCCUUCGGGGGACAGAGUGACAGGUGGUGCAUGGUUGUCGUCAGCUCGUGUCGUGAGAUGUUGGGUUAAGUCCCGCAACGAGCGCAACCCUUGUCCUUAGUUGCCAGCAUUCAGUUGGGCACUCUAGGGAGACUGCCGGUGACAAACCGGAGGAAGGUGGGGAUGACGUCAAAUCAUCAUGCCCCUUAUGACCUGGGCUACACACGUGCUAC